RNAcentral lists this long non-coding RNA (1867 nucleotides) under Linum usitatissimum (flax). RNAcentral's name for it is "long non-coding RNA (LUSI_LNC005954)". The record is from RNAcentral. Lineage: Eukaryota; Viridiplantae; Streptophyta; Magnoliopsida; Malpighiales; Linaceae.
UUUUUCGGUGCUUCUCUCUCUAAACUCUCUGAAUUUUCUGAAUUCUCUCGCGUCUCUCCUCGCCCAACACUCUCGAAUUUUCUCCUUCUCUAUUCUCAGAUUGGUAAAAGAAAAACGAAAUCUAACCUUUUCUCCUUUUGAAAUCUCUGCCGCUGAUUGAGGUUUCUCUCUUAUGAUCUAUUUUUGCAGUUUUCCGGUCAGUGACGGGACGAUAAUGAUUCUAGGGCAGAUCAGCAAUGGGUAGAUUGGAAGAUAGAAGCCAUAAAUCUGCGACAUCAGAUUUAGACUACGACAAGUUCCGACGACGAAGUCGACGACAUGCAAGGCCGGCGACGGUUGUAUUAAGUCAAGAUCGAUGAUGGCCACCACGAUUCCAGAGCAGAUCGACAAUGGGGAGAUUUUUACAUCUUUUCGUUUCGGUACUUGUCUUUAUCUUCUAUUUCAUACUUCUUUUUAUUCAUUCAAAUCUAAUUUGGACUUUUACCCCUCGUGUAUUUGGCUGGACGGGAUGGGUAUCAAGUGGUUUGAAUGAGCUUCAAUUUAAACCAUAAAGUAGAAAUUUCCUUCAGGAAAAAAAUGCAUAUCUCUGUCUACAAAUUGUUUCUUCAUAUACGCAUAAAGUUGAUUGCUACUUCUUCUUCUUGUCUGAACUUUGUGCAUGAAAAAAAGCAAUGUUGAAAUUAAGCUUCACUUAAACACAAACGUCUCACCUCUGAUUCUAUUUGGUGUAGGGAUUUGUGUCAGUAUAACUUUGAUGAUUAAAACAGAACAACCAAAAAAGAGUAUCUUGCUCGGUAGCUAUGUUGGACCAGAAAGAAAUAGUAUAGCUACAAAUCUGAUUUAUUAUGCACACGUAGGUGGUUAGCUUAAUGUGAAGCUUUAAUUUGUAUAUGGGUGAAGUAGGAAUGGCUAAACACCAGAUUUGUUAGCUUAGCUAUAGAGAAAUAACAAUGAAGCAUAUAAGUGAACAUAUGAUUUUUGUAUUGGUGAAAAGAUAGAAAGCAUACCCGGAUAUAUGCAACACCAUAGAUAUAGUUGAUGGUUAGUCAAAUAUAAUUAUAAUACUUGAUAAGCGUUAGUGUAACAUAUAAAGCAAUAGUUAAAACAUUAGAGCAAAAUGGAUAGAAGUCGUAAGCAUAAAAGACAGCCAGCCCAUUGUGGUGAAUGCGAACAGAUUCCGAGGCUUAUUGUAGAGGGGGAUAACUGUAGUAAUGGCUGAAGUUUGAAAACCCUUGUAUCAAACUUCAAGUAUUUCUAUUGAUUCUGACAUAUGCAAUCAUUAACCUCUAGUUGGUGUACUCUAUUUUCUUUUUGCGCAUUGGUUAUUUAUUUUGAUAAGGGAACUUUAUUAAGAGGAAGAAGAAAGCAUUUGUGGAUAGAGGAGGAAGGAAGCUUUUGGAGAUAGAAAAAUCAGGAGUAGAAAAUCAUGAUGGGAGUUCUUUGAGAUGGAUUUUUAUUAGUUUUGAGAGGUUUCAGGGAGAGUUGGGGGUUAUGGAAUGGUGCUUGAAGUUUAUGUGAGAAAAUUUGUGUGAAAGCUUCUGCCUCCCCCUCCCCUCCCUUUUCCAUGUAUGGAUUUGAUGUUUUUGUAGAGAAGCUAAGGCUACCGCCUCCUUUUCUGUUCAAUUAAAAGCAAAUUUGACAGAAAAUAGGAGGUGGCUGCUUCCAGAUAACUAACAGUGUUGGGCUUGAGAAGCGGGCUUGAGGAACGGGCCUGAUAAACAGGCCUGAUAUCAAAUUGGGUCGAAACAUUCAUACUGUUGCGAAAGCCUCUUGGCUGGUUUAGCUCGUUCGAUUUAGAGAUAGUAGAUGUGGGCCUGAUUCGAUUAGGCUAUUCUACAUUAAACGUUAGAAGCAAAACUUGAAAAAC